This 500-nucleotide ribosomal RNA is filed under the name uncultured bacterium. RNAcentral describes it as "bacterial SSU rRNA". It matches the Rfam family "Bacterial small subunit ribosomal RNA", at positions 355 to 847 of the family's 1533-position model. The record is from RNAcentral.
UCGAGAAUCUUCCGCAAUGGGCGAAAGCCUGACGGAGCGACACCGCGUGCAGGACGAAGGCCCUCGGGUUGUAAACUGCUGUCACGCUAUAGGAAUUCCAUGUCGUUAAUAGCGGCAUGGUUGACUAAGGCGAAAGGAAGUGGCGGCUAACUCUGUGCCAGCAGCCGCGGUAAGACAGAGGCCACGAACGUUGUUCGGAAUCACUGGGCAUAAAGCGCACGUAGGCGGCUAGGUCCGUCCGAUGUGAAAGCCCCCGGCUCAACCGGGGAACGGCAUCGGAUACAGCCUGGCUUGAGGACGGUUGGGGUGAGUGGAACUCCUGGUGGAGCGGUGAAAUGCGUAGAUAUCAGGAGGAACACCGGUGGCGAAAGCGGCUCACUGGACCGUUACUGACGCUGAGGUGCGAAAGCUAGGGGGAGCAAACGGGAUUAGGAUACCCCGGUAGUCCUAGCCGUAACGAUGGGCACUGGGUAGGGGUGAAGCCUAUGCUCUUCCCUGCC